RNAcentral lists this ribosomal RNA (916 nucleotides) under uncultured bacterium. RNAcentral's name for it is "bacterial SSU rRNA". It matches the Rfam family "Bacterial small subunit ribosomal RNA", at positions 246 to 1155 of the family's 1533-position model. The record is from RNAcentral.
UUGUUGGUAAGGUAAAAGCUUACCAAGGCUUCGAUCAGUAGCUGGUCUGAGAGGACGACCAGCCACACUGGGACUGAGACACGGCCCAGACUCCUACGGGAGGCAGCAGUGGGGAAUUUUGGACAAUGGGGGCAACCCUGAUCCAGCCAUGCCGCGUGAGUGAAGAAGGCCUUCGGGUUGUAAAGCUCUUUCAGCCGGAACGAAACGGUUACGGAUAACACCCGUGACUACUGACGGUACCGGAAGAAGAAGCACCGGCUAACUACGUGCCAGCAGCCGCGGUAAUACGUAGGGUGCGAGCGUUAAUCGGAAUUACUGGGCGUAAAGCGUGCGCAGGUGGUUUUGUAAGUCAGAUGUGAAAGCCCCGGGCUCAACCUGGGAACUGCGUUUGAAACUACAAAACUAGAGUGUGGCAGAGGGGGGUGGAAUUCCGCGUGUAGCAGUGAAAUGCGUAGAGAUGUGGAGGAACACCGAUGGCGAAGGCAGCCCCCUGGGUCAACACUGACGCUCAGGCACGAAAGCAUGGGGAGCAAACAGGAUUAGAUACCCUGGUAGUCCAUGCCCUAAACGAUGUCAACUAGUUGUCGGGCCUUUACGGGCUUGGUAACGUAGCUAACGCGUGAAGUUGACCGCCUGGGGAGUACGAUCGCAAGAUUAAAACUCAAAUGAAUUGACGGGGACCCGCACAAGCGGUGGAUUAUGUGGAUUAAUUCGAUGCAACGCGAAAAACCUUACCUACCCUUGACAUGUAUCGAAGCCCGCAGAAAAGCGGGGGUGCCCGAAAGGGAACGAUAACACAGGUGCUGCAUGGCUGUCGUCAGCUCGUGUCGUGAGAUGUUGGGUUAAGUCCCGCAACGAGCGCAACCCUUGUCAUUAAUUGCCAUCAUUUAGUUGGGCACUUUAAUGAGACUGCCGG